GCCGGGGUGGUGGAACAGCUAGACACGAGGGACUUAAAAUCCCUUGGGGGAAACCCCGUGCGGGUUGGAUUCCCGCCCCCGGCACCA
This 87-nucleotide transfer RNA is filed under the name Candidatus Doudnabacteria bacterium RIFCSPHIGHO2_01_FULL_46_24. RNAcentral's name for it is "tRNA-Leu". It matches the Rfam family "tRNA". From Rfam's summary of the family: Transfer RNA (tRNA) molecules are approximately 80 nucleotides in length. Their secondary structure includes four short double-helical elements and three loops (D, anti-codon, and T loops). RNAcentral also lists the same sequence under 1 other name. The record is from RNAcentral. Lineage: Bacteria; Candidatus Doudnaibacteriota.